This is a long non-coding RNA of Uloborus diversus, 1942 nucleotides long. RefSeq lists it as uncharacterized. NCBI's taxonomy places the organism in Eukaryota, Metazoa, Arthropoda, Arachnida, Araneae, Uloboridae. The transcript has 2 exons. The record is from RefSeq and is a predicted model, not a curated record.
CGAAUAAUGAAAUGAAUAAAUCAAUUGAUAUGUGAAGAAAAAUGAGCGAGUAAAAGAAUGAAUGAAUAAGAAAAUAAGUGAACGAAUGAAUAAAUAAGUGAAUUACUAAAUGAAGGAAUGUAAAUUAAUUAAUUAAUGAAAAUGUAAGUGAUUUGGAUUAUAUUACUGAGUGAGUAAAUGAAACAAACUAUUUCCCUUUGCCUCGUAUGUACUUGACUAAUUGCACAAUUUAUUUAAAAUACAAAUAAGACCAUAUUAACUAAAUUUUUGCUGCAUUGAUUAUUAGGAGGUCUCAAUUAAUAUUUCAAAUGAUAAUAACAAGAACGUUAUCAUUUUAUAGUAACAAAAAUAAUUUUUUACUUACAACAAAAUAUUACAAUAUGCGUACCAAUUUUUUAAAAUUGCCUGCAUUACCAAAUGCUUUAAUCUUUGGCAGUAUUUUUUUCCUGACUGGAAUAGACUGCAUUUGGUACUCUAUAGUUAAAAUAAUACCAGAUAGGUGGAGCUAAAAGUAGAGUAAAUAUUUCGCCAUUUCACUUUGCCCCGCUGUUUUACUUUACCCCAUGUUCCUCUACAAUAAAACUAACUGGAACUCCAACUAUCCGAAUCAAUUGGGACCGAACCCUAUUUGAAUAAUUGGAUAUUUCCCUAAAAAAGGCCUUAAAAAUCUUGCAUGUAUGUUGGAAAUAGGAGAAAAAAACUUUCGAAAUCGCAACUAAAUGAAAAUACGAUUCGCCUGGCGACAGACGGCAGCCAAUAGUAAGGCUGCACUGUGAGGUGGUGACUUAUCAUCUCAAUAGUAUUCGUGAUGGGCUUUGUAGAAGGUGCAUUGACAGAAUCAUUAUUUUGCAAAUCGCAAUGUGAUUCCGGUUCUCCCCCUCCCUCAAAUUUCAAGAGCAAUUCAGAUAAUCAACGACUCGGAUAGUUCGAGUUCGGAUAAUUGCAGUUCGAUUAUAAUGUAGAGGGAUAGAUAAUAAAUUUAUACUAUUUUAUCAAAUGCUCUAGUGGCCGGUGUUUAUUCCCCUAAAAACUCAUUUGUCUUUUUUUGGACUUCCUGUCUGGUAGUAUCCUGCCCAUAUUUUCGCUUUAGGGCUGUCCACAAAUGAUGUCGCACUUUGAGGGGGAAGGUAGUUCGUGAGUUCUAAUUUGGACCUUUGAGGGGUAAGGUUUGUAACGAGAGGGGGAGGGUGUGACAAGAAGUGUCACAUCCCGCAUUUUUUUAAUACGGAUAUCCUUAUAAAUAGCACAUGUGACAGAGAGGGAAGGGGGUAAGAUGAAGUGUGACACUUUGGGACAGGGAGGGGGAAUGUUUUUAAAAGGUAUGACAUCAUCAGACAGCCCCUAUGCCGGAAUGUUUUUCUGCUUGAAUCUGAAAGAAAAGCACAUGGGAUGGGGGGGAUGCAUUUGUGAGACGUCGAGUUUUCUUCAAUCGGCUCCGUGUGUGUGUCUGUGUGUGCGGCUCGUCGCAAAAGACGCAUAGUUAGUGAGUUGUGGCGUGCCAACUGCCUUUCUAUUCUGGUGUCUUAGAACGAGGGAACGCGGCUUUUGUUUCCGGGACAACACACUCGCUUUUUUCUCUCUCUCUCUUUCUCUCUCCCCUCCUUCGCGGCAUUGUGCGUGGAACUCGCGGUCGACCCGCAUCGAUCCGUAAUAACUGUCGAGGAUUUCACCUCCACAUUCGAUGUCCACGCGAUGUCUGGGAUGGAUCCACCCCCGCUCGCCACUUCUUCAGAGCAGCUUACGUGUCGUUCGGGGGGAUGUUGAUGCGACUCCAAGGUGACCCAAACAACUUGCACGGGUUUGAAGUCGAUAAUCACGUCUAUUUGCUCUUAAAGAAACUGGCUUUCUAAGAAUGCUGUGUAUUCGCCACAAUCUCAUCUCAUAAUAUUCAUGUACAUUAAAAAUUCAUUUUCAUAAAAAUAAAACAUUUUUGUAUUCUUUA